Molecule: unclassified non-coding RNA, 1052 nt
Filed under: Hevea brasiliensis (rubber tree)
Lineage: Eukaryota; Viridiplantae; Streptophyta; Magnoliopsida; Malpighiales; Euphorbiaceae
Source: RNAcentral
CCCCUUCACUCUCCUUAUCUUCAUCGUUAAUUAAUUCAAUUUCACCAUACAAAAUUUUUCAUAUUACAAUAUUCACCCACAAUUAACAGAAAAAUAAAAACAAAAAUCUCUCACAAAGUCUUCGUAUGAAUAGAGACUGCUAAUCACUAUAUAUAUAUUCCCGCCAAAAAUGCCACGUCACUAGUCAACUAACCAGUGAACCCAUUUGCAAAAAUGGACGAAAUAGCCCCUCGUACACUAUCGAGCUUCAAGGGCAAAAUCGUCAAAGUCAAAUUCGCCGAAUUCAUCGCCGUAGUAUUUCUCCGUCAUAGCAAAAUCCGGCAGCCGGAAAAGUGAAUCAACGUCGAAACCAAAAGCAUCCACUUCGCAGAACCCUAGAUUGUCAAACGGCGCAAAAUCAUUGUCACAGAGAACUGAGGUGGGUGACAAAGCGACAUCGUUUUCGCUUUUAUCUCCACCGUCGGCAACAGACUCGGUUUCGGUUUCCGUAACCGUCACCGUUACCUCCGCCGUUGUUGAUACCGGAAAAUUGGUAACGGCGUCAGGACCUUUGAGCUUAACUGCAGCUUUAUCGUAAACGACAGCUGCUUCUUCUGGGGUGUCAUAAGUACCCAACCACACCCGUUUUCCCCGGGUCGGGUCCCGAAUCUCUGCAGCCCAACGACCCCACGGUCUUUGACGAACGCCUCUAAACUUUUUCCGACGAGUGACGUCAGAAUCCGGAGACACCGAUCUUCGUUUUCUGUCGCCGAUCGAUUUGGUUGACGGCAUAAGGUUGAUCUCCGUCACGUGCCUCUUCACUCUCCGUACAGUAUUCCGGCCUUCAUCAUCGGAAGAAUCUGUAGCAUCGGCAUCUGUAAGUAUAAUCCUCACAACUCUUUGUAACUCUGAAUUGGAUUUUUCGUUAUGCUCAGAAAAAACAUGCUUGUUUGUAGUUACUAUGUGUUGAGUGAAUUUAAUCACCGGAACUGAAUUUUCCGUCAUGGUAUACCAAAAACUUAAAGUUACAGUUCGAUUUAAAAGAUAUUUUUUUCAAAGAGCACAAAAAAAAA